This 272-nucleotide ribosomal RNA is filed under the name uncultured bacterium. RNAcentral's name for it is "partial 16S ribosomal RNA". It matches the Rfam family "Bacterial small subunit ribosomal RNA", at positions 524 to 794 of the family's 1533-position model. The record is from RNAcentral.
UACAGAGGUCCCCAAGCGUUGUUCGGAUUCACUGGGCGUAAAGGGUGCGUAGGUGGCGGAUUAAGUCGGGUGUGAAAUCUCCGGGCUCAACCCGGAGGGUGCGCCCGAAACUGGUCUGCUAGAGGAUGGGAGGGGAGACUGGAAUUCUCGGUGUAGCAGUGAAAUGCGUAGAUAUCGAGAGGAACACCGGUGGCGAAGGCGAGUCUCUGGACCAUUCCUGACACUGAGGCACGAAAGCCGGGGGAGCAAACAGGAUUAGAAACCCCGGUAGU